This 253-nucleotide ribosomal RNA is filed under the name uncultured bacterium. Its description in RNAcentral is "partial 16S ribosomal RNA". It matches the Rfam family "Bacterial small subunit ribosomal RNA", at positions 524 to 776 of the family's 1533-position model. The record is from RNAcentral.
UACGUAGGGGGCAAGCGUUGUCCGGAAUCAUUGGGCGUAAAGCGCGUGUAGGCGGCUUGGUAAGUCUGCUCUGAAAGCCCGGGGCUCAACCCCGGGAGGCGGGUGGAUACUGUCAAGCUCGAGUCCGGAAGAGGAGUGUGGAAUUCCUGGUGUAGCGGUGAAAUGCGCAGAUAUCGUAAGGAAGGCCGGUGGCGAAAGCGAGUCUCUGGACAGUUACUGACGCUGAUGCACGAAGGCCAGGGGAGCAAACGGG